RNAcentral lists this ribosomal RNA (1363 nucleotides) under metagenome. Its description in RNAcentral is "bacterial LSU rRNA". It matches the Rfam family "Bacterial large subunit ribosomal RNA", at positions 1584 to 2925 of the family's 2925-position model. The record is from RNAcentral.
GGCGAAUUCUGUGAUCCUAUGCUGCCGGGAAAAGCCUCUAGUGAGUUGGUACACGGCCCGUACCCCAAACCGACACAGGUGGUCAGGUAGAGAAUACUAAGGCGAUCGAGAUAACUGUGGUUAAGGAACUCGGCAAAUUACCCCCGUAACUUCGGGAGAAGGGGGACCACGUCUGGUGACGGCAUUUACUGUCUGAGCUUGGGGUGGUCGCAGAGACCAGAGAGAAGCGACUGUUUACUAAAAACACAGGUCCGUGCGAAGUCGUAAGACGAUGUAUACGGACUGACGCCUGCCCGGUGCUGGAAGGUUAAGAGGACCGGUUAGCCAACUUGUUGGCGAAGCUGAGAAUUUAAGCCCCAGUAAACGGCGGUGGUAACUAUAACCAUCCUAAGGUAGCGAAAUUCCUUGUCGGGUAAGUUCCGACCUGCACGAAUGGCGUAACGACUUCUCUGCUGUCUCAACCACAGACUCGGCGAAAUUGCAGUACGAGUAAAGAUGCUCGUUACGCGCGGCAGGACGAAAAGACCCCGGGACCUUCACUAUAGCUUGGUAUUGGUGUUCGGUACGGUUUGUGUAGGAUAGGUGGGAGACUGUGAAGUGGGCACGCUAGUGUUCGUGGAGUCAUUGUUGAAAUACCACUCUGAUCGUAUUGGGCUUCUAACCUCGGACCCUGAUCGGGUUCAGGGACAGUGCCUGGUGGGUAGUUUAACUGGGGCGGUUGCCUCCUAAAAUGUAACGGAGGCGCCCAAAGGUUCCCUCAGCCUGGAUGGCAAUCAGGUGUUGAGUGUAAGUGCACAAGGGAGCUUGACUGUGAGACGUACAUGUCGAGCAGGGACGAAAGUCGGGACUAGUGAUCCGGCACCGGCAAGUGGAAGCGGUGUCGCUCAACGGAUAAAAGGUACCCCGGGGAUAACAGGCUGAUCUUCCCCAAGAGUCCAUAUCGACGGGAUGGUUUGGCACCUCGAUGUCGGCUCGUCGCAUCCUGGGGCUGGAGUAGGUCCCAAGGGUUGGGCUGUUCGCCCAUUAAAGCGGCACGCGAGCUGGGUUUAGAACGUCGUGAGACAGUUCGGUCUCUAUCCGCCGCGCGCGUCUAGAAACUUGAGGAAACCUGUCCCUAGUACGAGAGGACCGGGACGGACGAACCUCUGGUGUGCCAGUUGUUCCGCCAGGAGCACCGCUGGUUAGCUACGUUCGGAAGGGAUAACCGCUGAAAGCAUCUAAGCGGGAAGCCUGUUCCAAGAUGAGGUUUCUCACCACCCUUCGGGGUGGGUAAGGCCCCCCACAGAUUAUGGGGUUGAUAGGCCAGAACUGUAAGCACAGUAAUGUGUUCAGGUGACUGGUACUAAUCGGCCUAGGACUUAUC